Molecule: ribosomal RNA, 306 nt
Filed under: uncultured bacterium
Lineage: Bacteria
Description: bacterial SSU rRNA
Rfam family: Bacterial small subunit ribosomal RNA
Source: RNAcentral
AUUGAACGCUGGCGGCAGGCCUAACACAUGCAAGUCGAGCGGUAACAGGGGAGCUUGCUCCUGCUGACGAGCGGCGGACGGGUGAGUAACGCGUGGGAAUCUGCCCAUUGGUGGGGGAUAGCCCGGAGAAAUUCGGAUUAAUACCGCAUAAUACCUGAGGGUUAAAACGGGGGAUCAUUAGACCUCGUGCCAAUGGAUGAGCCCGCGUCAGAUUAGCUAGUUGGUAAGGUAAAGGCUUACCAAGGCGACGAUCUGUAGCUGGCCUGAGAGGGUGGUCAGUCACACUGGAACUGAGACACGGUCCAG